CCUAUGCCUCCUGCCACAUAUUUGAACUCUAUCAGGAAGACAACGGAUCAUUCACAGUGGCCAUGUUUUACCGCAAUGACACCAGAAGAGCGCCUUACCAACUGGCUGUACCUGGCUGUGACCUCUUCUGCCCCCUAGAGGACUUUGUGCGCAUCACCAAACCAUCCAUCCCAGAGGAUUGGGACAAGGAGUGCAUGGUGGAGUCUCCUACAAAGGAUACAGAGGUGGUCAUCGGACUCGCAGUUUGUGGCUGUUUGCUCUUCCUCCUUAUCGUCCUCCUGCUCGCUGUGCUUUGUCGGCAACAUGAUCCCUCCAACGGCUACAGUCAGAUUCACAAUGAGAUUGAUUCUUGACAAAUGUACAAACUCCACCAUAGGCAGGAUUCAUGGGAUAGUGAAGAUGUUUGAAUGCCUCAGUUCUGCCCUCUGGUGGGGAUGCAGGAAAAAGGAACACUAGACUGCUUUUAGUGCAACUUUUUAUUUUUGUUUUUUUCCCUUCAAAGUGGACUGUGGCCUUUUACCAAAAAUGCACAAACUUACCCGAGAGGACAAAGAUUAUCUAGUACUCUAGUCAACUGUUGUCAUGGUAAGUAUUCCUAAGUUUGUAAAUUAAGUCGGCUACUGGAUUCAGACAAUUGCCUUUUAAAUGUUUUCAAAUACUCAUUUUACUCACGGGUCCAAGUCACCUAACCAGCGUUCUUACAAAAUGUGGACCACUGGAUGCUUCAUGCUUGUUUGAUUCUCCCCUUGGAGAAUAAUGAUCAUUGUGACACUGAACCCGAAGACUGCUUGUGCUUCAUUUCUCUCCAAGGAACAGAUUUUGGCCGACUGUACUGAGCAUUCUUCUAGCAAGUCAUUUGAUAAAGAAUGCUAUUUAUUUCCUCUGGUGGUGAUUGUCAUGGUACUUGGAGAAGCCUUCACAUCAUGGUAGUCUUGGUAAAGAAUGUCCAAUGACUACCCUUGUAUAUGGCACACUCUUUAGUUUGUCCAUUUUCAUCUCACACGAUUUUACAUUUUAAAUUUUUCAAAGUUUAUAAUUUCAAUUGCUCCUUGGUAAUGUGACCGACUGACCUCAAACUACUUUCAGAAUGUCCACGGACUGGCGGAGACAGGCGCCACGAGGCAUACAGUGUGGUAAUGCGGCCGAUCCCGGAGAAGCUGGCAGGAGCCCUGGAAUGGGUUCGCCACGAGCGAGGGGCCCAAGCCCUGGAAAGCGUUGCUGUUUCCGCACCGUCCGGUGAGCUCUCCCUGGCUUUUGAAAGUCCGGGGGAGAGGGUGUAAAUCUCACGCCGGGCCAUAUUACUUUACUGUUCGGAAGGGAGGGGCGAGGGGGGGGCGACCGCCGUGGGGAGGGGGGGGGCGUUGAGGGGGGGGCGACCGCCGUGGGGGGGGGGGGGGGGAGGCCCCCCCCGCCCCCGGGCCGAUCGAAAGGGAGUCGGGUUCAGAUCCCCGAAUCCGGAGUGGCGGAGAUGGGCGCCGCGAGGCGUCCCGUGCGGUAACGCGACCGAUCCCGGAGAAGCUGGCGGAGCCCCGGGGAGNNNNNNUGGUAAGGGAAGUCCGGCAAGUCAGAUCCGUAACUUCGGGAUAAGGAUUGGCUCUAAAGGGCUGGGUCGGUCGGGCUGGGGUGCAAGGGGGCUGGGCUCGAGCCGCGGCUGGGGGAGCAGUUGCUCCGCCGCCCUCCUCUUGCCACCGUUGGAAGUUUGUCGUGCGGCCCCAUCUCGGGGCCUCGGUCGUGGUCCCAAGGGGCUGCGUGUGGGGGUUUAUCGGGGUGGUGUCCGCCGGUGGGCGAAGACGGACCGGUGAGGGGUUGGGUCCGGCGGUUGGAGCUGCGACUCUGGACGCGUGCCGGGCCCUUCUCGCGAUCUCCCCCAGCUACGGUUGCUCGUGGCCCGUUAACGCGGGGUCUCCGGCGGGUUGCCUCGGCCGCGCCUAGCAGCUGAACUUUAGAACUGGUGCGGACCAGGGGAAUCCGACUGUUUCAGAACUGGUGCGGACCAGGGGGAUCGACUGUCUAAUUAAAACAAAUCAUCGCGAAGGCCCAAGGUGGGGUGUUGACCGCGAUGUGAUUUCUGCCCAGUGCGCUCUGAAUUGUCAAAGUGAGAAAUUCAAUGAAGCGCGGGUAAACGGCGGGAGUUACCUAUGACUCUCUUAAGGUAGCCAAAUGCCUCGUCUCUAAUUAGUGACGCGCAUGAAUGGAUGAACGAGAUUCCCACUGUCCCUACCUACUAAUGGAUGAACGAGAUUCCCACUGUGCCUACCUACUAUCUAGCGAAACCACAAGCCAAAGGGAACGGGCUUGGCGGAAUCAGCGGGGAAAGAAGACCCUGUUGAGCUUGACCCUAGUCUGGCACUGGAAGGAGACAUGAGAGGUGUAGAAUAAGUGGGAGGCCCCGGCCGCCGGUGAAAUAAUACCAUACUCUUAUCGUUUUUUCAUUUACCCGGUGAGGCCGGGAGGCGAGCCCCGAGCGGGCUCUCGCUUCUGGCUUCACGCACCCGGCUCGCGUCGGGGGCGACCCGCUCCGGGGACAGUGGCAGGUGGGGAGUUUGAUGGGGCGGUACACCUGUCAAACCGGUAAAGCAGGGGUCCUAAGGCGCUCAGGGAGGACAGAAACCUCCCGUGGAGCAGAGGGCCAAAGGCUCGCUUGAUCUUGAUUUUCAGUAUGAAUACAGACCGUGGAAAGCGGUCCUCACGAUCCCUCCUGACUCUUUUUGGGUUUUAAGCAGGAGGUGUCAGAAAAGUUACCACAGGGAUAACUGGCUUGUGGCGGCCCAACGUUCAUAGCGACGGCGUUUUUUAUUCUUCGAUGUCGGCUCUUCCUAUCAUUUUGAGAAGCAGAAUUCACCAAGCGUUGGAUUGUUCACCCACUAAUAGGAAGGUGAGCUGGGUUUAGACCGUCGUGAGACAGGGUUAUGUUUUUCCUACUGAUGAUGUGUUGUUGCAAUAGUUAUUCCUGCUCAGUACGAGAGGAACGCAGGUUCAGUCAUUUGGUGUAUAUGUGCUUGGCUGAGGAGCCCAAUGGUGCGAAGCUACCAUCUGUGGGAUUAUGACUGAACGCCUCUAAGUCAGAACCCCCCUUAAACGUAAUGAUACCGUAGCGCCGUGGAGCUUCCGUUGGCCCCGGGAUAGCCUGCCUCCUUUGGGCAGGUGAGUAGAGCCUUUCGUGACAGGGUCGGGGUACGGGCGGAUGGGGUGCCGCCCACGCCCCUCUCCUGAUGCGCACCGCAUGUUUGUGGAGAACCUGGUGCUAAAUCACUCGUAUACGACCUGAUUCUUGGUUCAGGGGUUCGUGCGUAGCAGAGCAGCUCACUCGCUGCGAUCUAUUGAAAGUCAGCCUUCGAUCCAAGCUUUUGUCUCGUAG
This 3358-nucleotide ribosomal RNA is filed under the name Salmo trutta (river trout). Its description in RNAcentral is "eukaryotic LSU rRNA". The stretch from base 1533 to 3348 matches the Rfam family "Eukaryotic large subunit ribosomal RNA", at positions 1891 to 3399 of the family's 3401-position model. Lineage: Eukaryota; Metazoa; Chordata; Actinopteri; Salmoniformes; Salmonidae. The record is from RNAcentral.